This 77-nucleotide non-coding RNA is filed under the name Pseudo-nitzschia fraudulenta. The record is from RNAcentral. Lineage: Eukaryota; Bacillariophyta; Bacillariophyceae; Bacillariales; Bacillariaceae.
GCGGGCGAUAUGGAGGAAUGUCCGAUCUGCUAUGAGCAGCGUGGAGAUGUCGUCCAGCUGGUGCACGUCGGCGGAGA